AUCGAACGCUGGCGGCAGGCCUAACACAUGCAAGUCGAACGAGAGGCGGACGGGCGAGCAAUGUCUGGGCACCUGCCUGAUGGAGGGGGAUGACUACUGGAAACGGUAGCUACUACCGCUUACCACCGCAUGUGCCCAGAUGGCAUUAGCUAGUCGGUGGGGUAACGCCGCACCAAGGCGACGAUCCCUAGCUGGUCUGAGAGGAUGACCGGCCACACUGGAACUGAGACACGGACCAGACUCCUACGGGAGGCAGCAGUGGGGAAUAUUGCACAAUGGGCGAAAGCCUGAUGCAGCCAUGCCGCGUGUGUGAAGAAGGCCUUCGGGUUGUAAAGUACUUUCGGCAGGGAAGCGGUACCCGCAGAAGAAGCACCGGCUAACUCCGUGCCAGCCGCCGCGGUAAUUC
RNAcentral lists this ribosomal RNA (406 nucleotides) under uncultured bacterium. RNAcentral describes it as "partial 16S ribosomal RNA". It matches the Rfam family "Bacterial small subunit ribosomal RNA", at positions 29 to 526 of the family's 1533-position model. The record is from RNAcentral.